Molecule: ribosomal RNA, 633 nt
Filed under: Corynebacterium glutamicum
Lineage: Bacteria; Bacillati; Actinomycetota; Actinomycetes; Mycobacteriales; Corynebacteriaceae
Description: bacterial SSU rRNA
Rfam family: Bacterial small subunit ribosomal RNA
Source: RNAcentral
GAACGCUGAAACCAGAGCUUGCUUUGGUGGAUGAGUGGCGAACGGGUGAGUAACACGUGGGUGAUCUGCCCUACACUUUGGGAUAAGCCUGGGAAACUGGGUCUAAUACCGAAUAUUCACACCACCGUAGGGGUGGUGUGGAAAGCCUUGUGCGGUGUGGGAUGAGCCUGCGGCCUAUCAGCUUGUUGGUGGGGUAAUGGCCUACCAAGGCGUCGACGGGUAGCCGGCCUGAGAGGGUGUACGGCCACAUUGGGACUGAGACACGGCCCAGACUCCUACGGGAGGCAGCAGUGGGGAAUAUUGCACAAUGGGCGCAAGCCUGAUGCAGCGACGCCGCGUGGGGGAUGACGGCCUUCGGGUUGUAAACUCCUUUCGCUAGGGACGAAGCCUUAUGGUGACGGUACCUGGAGAAGAAGCACCGGCUAACUACGUGCCAGCAGCCGCGGUAAUACGUAGGGUGCGAGCGUUGUCCGGAAUUACUGGGCGUAAAGAGCUCGUAGGUGGUUUGUCGCGUCGUCUGUGAAAUCCCGGGGCUUAACUUCGGGCGUGCAGGCGAUACGGGCAUAACUUGAGUGCUGUAGGGGAGACUGGAAUUCCUGGUGUAGCGGUGAAAUGCGCAGAUAUCAGGAGGAA